Ciona intestinalis (vase tunicate) is the source of this 370-nucleotide non-coding RNA. Lineage: Eukaryota; Metazoa; Chordata; Ascidiacea; Phlebobranchia; Cionidae. The record is from RefSeq and is a predicted model, not a curated record.
UAGAGGUUCGUUUGCUGGUUCUUCACAAGUUGAUCAACAACUGGAAGAUGGAUCGAAAACUUCUCAUCGUUCUUCUCAUCGCGCUCAUCUGCUUCGCUGAGCAGGGAGAGAGUUGGUGUUAUCGUCGUCGUGGAUAUUUCCGUCGUCGUCGAUAUCAUUGGCGUCGUCGUCGUCGUUAUGACCAACAAAGUGCCGAGGACAUGAACGAAGACGAGGAAUCAGCUGGAGAUGAAAUAGAAGACAUCUCGGCUGAAGAGGAUAUGCCGGAAAUGUAGAUGAAAGAAACGUACAGCUUCAGUGACUCAAAGAAAUAUGUUUGCUGAAACUAAUCUUUCUCGUCCUCGAGCAAUAAAAACAAACUAAAUGCAAA